ACUUCCACGGGGGCCAGACAGGCGGAUGCUGUGCAAGCCGGAGCCGCCGGGAAGGUCCUGUUCUGUGCGGCCGACAGCACCGUGCCUGGAAAAGCCAUGCUAUUUGGGACCGUCCUGCUGGGCAAGCGGCCACUCUUCCACACUGAAAGGGAAACAGAAAGGAAGAAGCGCCCAGAGCAGAGAAACAGAUGUGGCCUCCACCCGAGAUUGGGGCUCAGGGAGGGAAGAGAGUAUCGCAUCAGGAUCAGUCUUCCGGCAGGCUCCAUCUCUCCUGGGAUGUGCUGGGAUACUCUAGUGACAGGGGAGAAGGGAAGUUCACAUGAGUGGUUCGUGGUGCUGGGGCCGUGCUGUCGCCACCUGUGAAGCCAGGGCUGGUGAGUGGGAGGGCUUUCCCCAGACAUCUUCUUCCAGAACCCUCUGGGGCUACGAAGCCACACGCCAGCCGCCCGAGCCCCCCCUGAGCUCUUCCCCUGCCGCCCGCUAUCCGCGUAAUUCAGUUACCACCUCCAGGAAAUCUCUCUGGUUUGGCUCCACAUAUUUUCAUUUCUGCAUGACUGGAAGAAAUUAAUUUUUCUCCCUACGCGAGGAUCUGGAGAUGCUGCCGGCAGGCUGGGUCACUAAUCCCCAAGAUCCCAGCCCUCAGGGCUGCACGGGGGAGGGCCGGGCCUCGCCGCUGCCGCCUCUGGGGUGGCAGGGAGGGUGUGAGGUGGGUGAGGCAUUUCCCUGCCAGCUUCUGGAACCAUCUUGGGGCUCUCCGCUGGCCUCCCCCUCCCCUGCUGCACCGUUAGCAGGUUGACUUUGGGGUUUUCUGAUUCAUCCUCAGCCUCCCGCAGCACCAGGGUGGAAGGAUGCUGGUUGAAUUAAGUGGAUCUGAAUUUCCUUCCCAGGCAGGGAGGAACCAGAAGCAACUUCAGCGUGCCCCUGUGCUGUGUGUGCCACGCGGGUGUUCAGACCCAGCAUGGAGGGAGCAGCAGGGCCUUGUUAGUGGCGCCACAGGUGAAGGCUCUGGCGUCUCCGUGGGGCUGCUCUCCUGGCCCGCACUUGCUGCACUGCCUGCCUGUGGCCUGUCUCUCCUGCUCACAGGGUCGUGGAGCCUUCCUGGGUGGGUCUUAGAGCCUACAACAGCGCUGGGGCUUACACGCACUGUUGGGUCCCUGUAACACCCACGAGGGCCGUGGAGCGCUCCCCGUCUCCGACGCCGGGAGAGGUACAGUCCACAGGUCAUGCAGGGAGCCAGUCUGAGGGCCUGCUGCAGCGAGUGUCUCCAGGCCCCUGUCCAGCCCCGCCCAGUCCCUGUCCAGCCCCACCCAGUCCCUGUCCAGCCCUGCCCGGGCGUUCCUUUGCCUGUGCCGUCGGUCCCCAUCCCCAGCCUUCCGGGCCACAUUCUUAGAGCACCUGGGCACCCCCAGGGGGCUGGGAGAUCUGGUGGCUGAGGGCUCAGUCGUGACUCAGGGUUAGCACUGUAGGUGCAAAAGCCCUCACCUGGACAGAGGCCCUGGGCCCCAUCUGGGGUCAGGGCACUGGUGGGAGAACUUGACCUCUGCCCUACCUGGGUCAUGGAGCCCCAAGGCCAGCCUCGUCCCAGCUGCUCUAGUCCUGCACCUCUGGCCAGCCCCACCUCUGCUUCCUGCCCUGCUGUGCAGGGGAGGGGGGUCGUUGUUGCUAAAGACCCUCCAGAAGCCACUGGAACAUUGCCCGGCUAUUAUCACAGACAUAGCAUCCACUGUUCGUAGAAAUCCACAUCCAGGCAACCGAUGUCACCUCCCAGGCUGGUCCCAGGCCCCUGGGGACGGGAAGGACCCAAACUCUACAAUUUGUCAAUGCCAGAGGGUGGCUUUGCCACCACUUCACUUACAGGACAAAAAGUGCCUGUCCUCCAGUGCUCAUUCCCUGGGCAAGUAUUGAUCGAACACCUACUCCAUACCAGGUGGGGGCAGAGUCACAUGCAGUGAGAGGCACCCAGGCCCUGCAUUGGAUCCUCACAGCAGCCCUGAGGGCACCGCUGCUGUCCCACUUUCCAGACGGGGAAGCUGAGGCCCACAGAGGUUCGCAGCUUGCAGCACAGGAGCCCCACGCGGGUGGGUACCACGGGGCUCUGCCUGCGACACAUCCAGGGUGGUCAGGCCCCUAGAACUUCCCACUGAGUUCUGACGCGGGAGGGCCAGCGUGGGGACGGCAGGGAGUGGGCCUGCAGAGUCCAGUGCACACUGUGGGCUGGGACCCGCUGCCUCGCAGGGGCAGGAGGGGGUGGAAACACAACUGCUGGGGUACUGGCUAGGGAGGUGCAGGCCGCUUGAGGGCAGCUCAGAGGGAUGCUCACGACAGCGUCACCAUCCUUGUUUCCAGGGUCUGGGUCAGGUUGGGUGGAUACCACGCUGUUCAUCCACCUCGUGGCUCCGUCUCUCUGGGAAGGCCUGCGUCAGUGAACCACACCCCAGAUCCUUUCCUGGGAGUUUUAUUCUCCACCCCCUGACUUUCCUGGGCAGAGUGAGAAGGCCUGGUUCUGCUUCUGCAGUUCCCCAGGCCGGGACCCUCCUUUCAGCGGAGCCCAGGCUGUGCUGCAGGAAACAGCCCACCGGGCAGGCCUGGGAGGGCUGCCUUAGCCAAGAGCAAAUGCAGGCAAGGGCUUUGCUUGUCUGGAAAAAAAAUUCCUGGAGUGGAAACCGCCCUUGUAGCAUCAGUGGAAAAGACUCAGGCGGAGACCUGGCAGUUGAGCUGGAAACUGACGAUGAGGAGAGUGAGAGAUAACUGCUCCCCAGUCCCCACUUCUGAGCUCACAGCUUGCCCCGAGGGUGGAAGCUGGGGACUCAGGACCCGCCGGGAUCCGGCUUUCUGCCUGUGCUGUGGCAAUGAGUUUCCUGUGGCAAUAAAACAGAAGUUCAG
RNAcentral lists this small RNA (2883 nucleotides) under Pongo abelii (Sumatran orangutan). RNAcentral's name for it is "sense intronic". Lineage: Eukaryota; Metazoa; Chordata; Mammalia; Primates; Hominidae. The record is from RNAcentral.